Molecule: long non-coding RNA, 97 nt
Organism: Hippocampus comes (tiger tail seahorse)
Lineage: Eukaryota; Metazoa; Chordata; Actinopteri; Syngnathiformes; Syngnathidae
Exons: 3
Source: RefSeq, a predicted model, not a curated record
UCAAGUUCAUUGGAAAAGUGAUCAAAGAAGAGUAUCUAACAGACUAAAGACAAUUACAACACAAUAGACAACAGCAGUGGCUUGCUUGAUAAGGAAA